Long non-coding RNA from Cyclopterus lumpus (lumpfish), 919 nucleotides. RefSeq lists it as uncharacterized. NCBI's taxonomy places the organism in Eukaryota, Metazoa, Chordata, Actinopteri, Perciformes, Cyclopteridae. The transcript is spliced from 2 exons. The record is from RefSeq and is a predicted model, not a curated record.
UGAGGUCUUAUAGAGGACUGGGACUAGACUGAGGUCUUAUGGAGGACUGAGACUAGACUGAGGUCUUAUAGAGGGUCGGGACUAGACUGAGGUCUUAUAGAGGACCGAGACUAGACCGAGGUCUUAUGGAGGACUGAGACUAGACUGAGGUCUUAUGGAGAACAGGGACUAGACUGAGGUCUUAUGGAGGACUGGGACUAGACUGAGGUCUUAUGGAGAACAGGGACUAGACUGAGGUCUUAUAGAGGACCGAGACUAGACCGAGGUCUUAUGGAGGACUGAGACUAGACCGAGGUCUUAUGGAGAACAGGGACUAGACUGAGGUCUUAUAGAGGACCAGGACUAGACCGAGGUCUUAUGGAGAACAGGGACUAGACCGAGGUCUUAUGGAGGACCGAGACUAGACUGAGGUCUUAUGGAGGACUGAGACUAGACCGAGGUCUUAUGGAGAACAGGGACUAGACUGAGGUCUUAUAGAGGACCGAGACUAGACUGAGGUCUUAUGGAGGACUGAGACUAGACCGAGGUCUUAUGGAGAACAGGGACUAGACUGAGGUCUUAUAGAGGACCAGGACUAGACCGAGGUCUUAUGGAGAACAGGGACUAGACCGAGGUCUUAUGGAGGACCGAGACUAGACUGAGGUCUUAUGGAGGACUGAGACUAGACCGAGGUCUUAUGGAGGACUGGGACUAGACCGAGGUCUUAUAAAGGACCAGGACUAGACUGAGGUCUCUUCUUUGAGCGCCGGUGGUUUUUAACGGCCAUCUGUUCUCCGCCUCGUUCAUUUUCACUCUCGACACUAUUUGGCAUCAACUGCUGACCUUUUUUUCUUCUUCUCAUUGUUAUGCGUAAGCAGCUUUUCUCACAGAAUCUGAGAGAUCUCGUUGAAACGUGAUAUUAAAUCACCUGUGAAAUAGA